UGGUCUUAGGACCUUAAAAUACUUAAUAAAAAACAAAAAAAAACCCUAAAAAAUGUUUGGUGGACUGUUGAUUUUGAUCUGAACUUUUGGACUUAGGAUUAGGCAACAUUCCUUGUGCAAAAAGGACUUGGCCAAUGCCAACAUUUUGAAACCAAGUUGUUGUGAACUGAGACUUCAUCUGAUGCAAGCCUGGGAACUCUCUUUGAAUUCAUCUGUAUCUUUGUCUUUGUGCUAAUUGUUAUUUUGAUCUUGUGUCUGAGGCUUUGU
Molecule: long non-coding RNA, 267 nt
Filed under: Lathyrus oleraceus (garden pea)
Lineage: Eukaryota; Viridiplantae; Streptophyta; Magnoliopsida; Fabales; Fabaceae
Description: Pisum sativum (pea) long non-coding RNA (PSAT_LNC006148)
Source: RNAcentral